This 2053-nucleotide long non-coding RNA is filed under the name Marmota monax (woodchuck). Lineage: Eukaryota; Metazoa; Chordata; Mammalia; Rodentia; Sciuridae. The record is from RNAcentral.
GGAGUUCCCGCCAGCCCAGCCUCCACAGACCCUCCUCCCAGCUGGAGGCAGGCCUCCACCCGGCUGCCUGCAGGACAUGGGCUUCUGAGGGUGUCUCUGAACAUCCUGGAGUCCUGGGGGCACAGAGGGCUUGGGGACAAGUCGCACUUGGCAGUCCUGCAGACGCAGACACUUCCGCUGCCCUCGCCCUCGCAGCCCUGCUCUCCUGAGCAGACUGGCUCCCCGGGAGCCUCCUCUCUCUGCGGGGCCUGGUGAACACAGUGUCCUUCUCUGCCCCAGCAAGGCGGCUUCGGCCUCACGCACCUCCUGUCCGGGAGGCCCUGGCCCAGCCUCUCUGCCCGUCGCCCUGCUCUCUGCUCCCCGUGCGCCUGUCCGAGUUGUCUCUUCUCAUGAGGACGCCAGGCCCAUUGGACUAAGACCCCCCACAUGAUCGUAUUUCAUUUGAAUCACCUCUUUGAAGGUUCUGUCUCCAAAUAUAGCCACAUUACGAUGAGCUGGGAGUUGGGGCUUCGAUGUAGGAAUCUUGGGGGGAGGGGCACACAAUUACAUCCCUAAGUGAUAGCCACCAAGACAUGCUACACAGUCUGCUUCCCAAAGUCUUCAGCGCAAGCCACAAGAGCAGAAUAAUGUUGGCUUUGCAAUUCUUAUAGAUAAGAGUCUUACCAAGUAUUUCCCACUGUGUGACUGACAGGGUGCCAUCUUUUCUGCCUUCCGUAGCUGUUUCUUUGUCAACUGUAUCCAGCCCCUCAGCCCACCCUAUGUGUCUGUGGUUGCAGCCCACUACUUCUAAGAGUCUGUAUCAGUCAGAUUUUGCUAGAUUAUGCUGUAUAACAAACAUCCCCUGAAUACCAGUAGUUUGCCAUAGUCAAGGUUUAUUUUCAUUCAGGUUUAACAUUGGCUACUCCCACUCCAGCCCCACCACACUGCUUCACAUGCCCUCUUUGUUCUGGGGUCCAGUCUGACAGCAGACCCCCCACACAGAACAUCCACCAGACAGAAAAGAGACAGAGGGCUGGUCAAGCUGCCACCAAGCUCUUAAAACUUCUGCCGGGCAGCAGCACAUGGCCACACCUGCUUCACUGAUCAGCUGGCAGUGGGUGCAGAUCUGUGCUCUUGGGGUAGGAGGGGGUACAGCCUUCCUGGGCAGGGGAUUCCUGGGAACCUUGGCUCACCUGUGGCUGAGAUGUGGCUGUGGAAGAGUAUUGCUUAGCAUACUUGAGGCCCUGGUUUCAUCGAGAGAGAGAGAGAGAGAGAGAGAGAGAGAGAGAGAGAGAGAGAGAGAGAGACCCAUCUUCCACAAUACUUACCCUGUGGGGCUUUGCAUGCCACGCCGAUUCCUUACUGUAGCCCCUUCUUUUUUGGGGGAGUACUAGGAUUAAACUCAGGGGCUCUAGACCACUGAGCCACAUCCCCAGCCCUAUUUUGUGUUUUAUUUAGAGACAGGGUCUCACUGAGUUGCUGAGCACCUCACCAUUGCUGAGGCUGGCUUUGAACUUGCAAUCCUCCUGUCUCAGCCUCCCGAGCUGCUGGGAUCACAGGUGUGGCCACUGCACCCGGCCCACAGCCCCUUAUGGAGAAGACUGAGGCUUUGCAGUGUUCACUGUGUGCACCUGUUAGAGUCUGUAAACAAGUCAGGAUGGCGCCUGGCAUUUUGCAGAGGGAGUGGUUUGUGAAGUAACGCCAGCGAGACAUUAAGUGUGGAGAUUCCUUAUUGGUUGACUGCUGUAUCUAGUUUAUGCUAAUUAAGAUAAGCUGUGUGGAAUGUAUAAAUACCCCUCCUGUCCUACAAUAAACGGCUCCCACUCCUGCUGCAUCAAUCUACACAAGUUGCUCGUCACCUCCCGGUUAUUUUGCUGCAGCUGGACUGUGGCAUGCACGGAGAUGCAGCCCAGGGACCUCGGGGCUCUCUGUGCACACAAGGUCCUCUUCACAUUGCAUCUCUGUUCUCAGAGGCUGGGCCAAAGGACUCCUGGCUGAGGAUGUGGACCUCGUGGCCUGCACAAUAUCAGCAUGUCAUGGUUUGAGCCGAGGUGGGGGGGCCGUGAGCCAGCCC